GUUGAAGAUGAUUAAGACGGUGUUAUUGCUACUUGGUCUCUCUGGUUGCUGUUUAGCUCAACUCUGCUGUGUUCCCAAUACCUGGGAAGGUAUCCAAAGACAAACCGCCGGUAGUAUUAAAGAUGGAAAACCUACAGUCUCUGUAACAGAUAUUAAAGUUCAUUAUGAUUUAACCAACUUUAGAGCAGCAUUUGAUGAAAAUGUUACUGCUAAUGGUUAUACUGUUCAAGUGAAAGUUAUCCAGAUGUAUAAUAAUGGCAUUGAAUAUAUUAUAAGUGGAAAUACUUGCAGCAAGAAAAUGAUUCCUCCAUCACCACAAACCCGCUGUGUACCAAAUUCGGCUAAACUUGAAGGAAAACAUUUUAUUGUGGAUGGAAAGAACAACAUUUCUUUUAACACGUAUAAAUACGAAGCUAACGGAAUUUCUGCUUCUAUUUCAAUGACAGACCAUUGCAAACCAAUUAGCCAAGUUAUUUACGGAGCUAGUAACGGAGUUCAGUUUUUGUCGAGUGAUGUCUACUAUGAUAUAACAGAUGGUAUUGUGGAUCCAGCUGUCUUUAAUAUUCCAGCUAUCUGUUCCAACGCCAAACUUAUUCCGGUCGGGAAAACUGACCUUAGCAACAAAAGAAUUAUUGGUCGAUGAUGC
Molecule: long non-coding RNA, 646 nt
Organism: Patella vulgata (common limpet)
Lineage: Eukaryota; Metazoa; Mollusca; Gastropoda; Patellidae
Exons: 6
Source: RefSeq, a predicted model, not a curated record